RNAcentral lists this ribosomal RNA (901 nucleotides) under Nigrospora oryzae. RNAcentral describes it as "LSU rRNA". It matches the Rfam family "Eukaryotic large subunit ribosomal RNA", at positions 38 to 966 of the family's 3401-position model. The record is from RNAcentral. Lineage: Eukaryota; Fungi; Ascomycota; Sordariomycetes; Amphisphaeriales; Apiosporaceae.
GCAUAUCAUAGCGGAGGAAAAGAAACCAACAGGGAUUCCCCUAGUAACGGCGAGUGAAGCGGGAACAGCUCAAAUUUGAAAUCUGGCCCUCGGGUCCGAGUUGUAAUUUGUAGAGGAUGCUUUUGGUGCGGUGCCUUCCGAGUUCCCUGGAACGGGACGCCUUAGAGGGUGAGAGCCCCGUACGGUUGGACGCCUAGCCUCUGUAAAGCUCCUUCGACGAGUCGAGUAGUUUGGGAAUGCUGCUCUAAAUGGGAGGUAUAUUUCUUCUAAAGCUAAAUACUGGCCAGAGACCGAUAGCGCACAAGUAGAGUGAUCGAAAGAUGAAAAGCACUUUGAAAAGAGGGUUAAAUAGCACGUGAAAUUGUUGAAAGGGAAGCGUUUAUCACCAGACUUUUUCUGGGGGGAUCAUCCGGUGUUCUCACCGGUGCACUUCCCCCAGUUGAGGCCAGCAUCGGUUUUCGGAGGGGGAUAAAAGCUUCGGGAAUGUGGCUCCCUCGGGAGUGUUAUAGCCCGUUGCAUAAUACCCUUCUGGGGACCGAGGUUCGCGCAUCUGCAAGGAUGCUGGCAUAAUGGUGAUCAACGACCCGUCUUGAAACACGGACCAAGGAGUCGAACAUUUAUGCGAGUGUUUGGGUGUCAAACCCUCACGCGUAAUGAAAGUGAACGGAGGUGAGAGCCCUUACGGGUGCAUCAUCGACCGAUCCUGAUGUCUUCGGAUGGAUUUGAGUAAGAGCAUAACUGUUCGGACCCGAAAGAUGGUGAACUAUGCGUGGAUAGGGUGAAGCCAGGAGAAAUCCUGGUGGAGGCUCGCAGCGGUUCUGACGUGCAAAUCGAUCGUCAAAUCUGCGCAUGGGGGGCGAAAGACUAAUCGAACCAUCUAGUAGCUGGGUUACCGCCGAAG